UUACUGGGCAUAUGCUGUUCAGAUUUAAUCUCAAUUUAAUCGUAUGCCACCACAAAUGAAAAUGUUCUCAGGCCAAUUAGAACAUCCAAUGAAAAGGACGAACAAUGAGCGCCGGAAGUUAUUUGACUGACCGGCAAAAUCGCGUUUACAUUGGACGCAACUUCAUUUUAAGGGCUAAAGAAAUCAAAAUGUCUGGAUUUACUCGUUCUUUCGGUUUUCUCAGAAGCAAACUGAGACCACUCACUACUCUGAAAGCCAACAUUUCGGGCAAGCCGGCGAAGCACACUAUAUCCACCGGUGAGCAACUUUUUGUGAUGACCGUGAUGUUUGUCACCGUCCUGGGACCAUCAGGAUGGGUUCUCGCCCAUUUGGAAGAGUACAAAGCCCGCUGAAGUUACCUGGUGGCCUCGGUGACUGGCAGUCCUCCAAGACUGGUCCUUUUCCGUCCUACCAAUGUUUAAAUUGCUUUUAAUGCCCUCAAAGCUCCUAAUAAAUAUAAAGGAAAAAGGCA
Anguilla rostrata (American eel) is the source of this 511-nucleotide long non-coding RNA. RefSeq lists it as uncharacterized. The transcript has 2 exons. The record is from RefSeq and is a predicted model, not a curated record. NCBI's taxonomy places the organism in Eukaryota, Metazoa, Chordata, Actinopteri, Anguilliformes, Anguillidae.